This 196-nucleotide ribosomal RNA is filed under the name uncultured bacterium. Its description in RNAcentral is "partial 16S ribosomal RNA". It matches the Rfam family "Bacterial small subunit ribosomal RNA", at positions 326 to 539 of the family's 1533-position model. The record is from RNAcentral.
ACGCUCGACACCUACGGGGCAGCAGUGGGGAAUAUUGCACAAUGGGGGAAACCCUGAUGCAGCGACGCCGCGUGAGCGAAGAAGUAUCUCGGUAUGUAAAGCUCUAUCAGCAGGGAAGAAGAUGACGGUACCUGACUAAGAAGCACCGGCUAAAUACGUGCCAGCAGCCGCGGUAAUCUGAGCGGGCUGGCAAGGC